This 236-nucleotide ribosomal RNA is filed under the name Escherichia coli. Its description in RNAcentral is "partial 16S ribosomal RNA". It matches the Rfam family "Bacterial small subunit ribosomal RNA", at positions 1 to 233 of the family's 1533-position model. The record is from RNAcentral. Lineage: Bacteria; Pseudomonadati; Pseudomonadota; Gammaproteobacteria; Enterobacterales; Enterobacteriaceae.
AAAUUGAAGAGUUUGAUCAUGGCUCAGAUUGAACGCUGGCGGCAGGCCUAACACAUGCAAGUCGAACGGUAACAGAAAGCAGCUUGCUGCUUUGCUGACGAGUGGCGGACGGGUGAGUAAUGUCUGGGAAACUGCCUGAUGGAGGGGGAUAACUACUGGAAACGGUAGCUAAUACCGCAUAACGUCGCAAGACCAAAGAGGGGGACCUUCGGGCCUCUUGCCAUCGGAUGUGCCCA